AUCGUCUUGAUGAUGGGAACUCCUGUGAUCCUCAAGAUAAUCUUGACUGAUUGCAGCUCUCAGAGGCUGACUCUCCCUCAUGGACUCCCUGUAUCAGUUGAUGACCUCAAAGAUGAAGUCAAGAAACAGUGUGGACUUGAGGGCAAUUUCCGACUGCAGUUUAUGGACUCCUUGUUUGGAAAUGAAUUCCUUAACCUUACAUCAAUGACUGAAGUAGUGGACAAAGGUACUCAGAGUCUGUGAUGUGUCAAGGCCCACAACUAUUCUGAAUGACCAUGAGAGGUCUGCUGUUGCAGUCCUAAAUCCCCAGAUUUCUUACGCUCUAAAUGACUCCUCGUCCCUGUCCAGCGGAUAUGUGGAUACAGAUGUACAGUCAAUUGAGUCUACGAGCACACGGUCAUCUUGGCCUGCUGUUUUUCAUGUGCCCAAGUUCUCCUACGAUGUAGGAGGGCUUAACUUAUGUUCAAAAUGGCACUGUGCUUAUGCCAGAGCCGAAGUUGAAGUCAGCCAUCCUUGAUCGUUUAGUGCAGGAAAUAGUGAAGUAUAAAGUCUAUGUCACUGAUAAGGAGAUGGAAGAGUUGGCACAAAGUCUUAUCAAAACACAUCCGUGUUCAUCUGAGAAGGGGUCCUGCACUGGAUGUGGCGGAUGGAAGACCAGUUUAAAGUAUAAACUAUGAAGUCUCUGAGAUCAAUUCUGAAUUUAAGAGAAUCACGACCAAGCCACUACAAUCAAAAUUCCUGUCUCAGCAGGACUUCCACUCUGGCACCCUGAUGAAGCUGUUCCAAAAGCGAGGAGGACAGCAUGGGGGAAGGCUGGAAACAAUAAUUGUGCAAAUGGCUAAUUGUGAUGAUGUAGAUGCUGGACGUGAGUCUAUCAUCAAGGGACUAUGCAUCUCCAUGGGGGAAGAUCCAAAAGACCUUGUGCGAGAAUAUGUGGACACAGAUGAAGGCGCCAUCAAGGACACGACUGUGGGGAUUUAUGUUCUUAAAGAUGCUUCCACUGAUGAACCGGAGGACAUCGGGAUCGUUCUAGAAGGCGUCAAAGUCUUGACAAAUCUGGAUAAUGUAGCAUUAGCUUUUGUAAUGCUGUUCAGACUAAUAUAUAGUUCGGCGAAUAUCAGCUACCCUGCUGACCUCCGCUACACCUUUGAAGUAGUCCAAAGCAUUAUAAUGGAACUGGACUGCGGUAAGCUCUCAAACAAAGCAACUGCUCUGAAAAACAGGCUCCUUCAGUGAAACGGUUCAGAGACUGCUGCAUGCAAGAAACCCCAAACAAUUGAAUCUGUUCUUUUUUCUCUGUUAUGUUUUAGGAUUUGUUGUUACUUCGUUACAACUUGUGUUUUUAACCUGAGACCAUUUUAAAGACCAUUGCUGUCUUUAGUGUUUGAGACUCUAUUAUAAGAAACCUGUCAAUCCUGCAUGUGUCUGAAAUCUUUUAUCUAGCAUCCCCCCCCCUGCUCAGAAUUUAAGGAACUGUGCAACUGUUCACUCUUAUUGUUCCUUCAUAUAUUUCUUCUAGACUGAUGCCACCACAGGUCAUUUUAUGUCACAAAUGUUCAGGUUAAAGCAUAGUUCCAUGCUUUAAUUAUUCAAUGUUCCAUGCU
This is a long non-coding RNA of Gymnodraco acuticeps, 1604 nucleotides long. RefSeq lists it as uncharacterized. The record is from RefSeq and is a predicted model, not a curated record. The transcript has 4 exons. NCBI's taxonomy places the organism in Eukaryota, Metazoa, Chordata, Actinopteri, Perciformes, Bathydraconidae.